CCCUUUUCCUUAGUUGGGCCAAGCAAUUUCAAUUUGGGGGGCACUUUUUAAGGGGGAGUCUUCCCGGGUUUUAAACCCGGGAAAGAAAAGUGGGGGGAAUAACUUCAGUUCUUAUGGCCCUUUAAGGCCCAGGGGCAACACACGUGNUACCAUGAACCGGUACAAAGGGCUGCAAUACCGCGGAGGUGGAGCGAAUCCCAAAAAGCCGUUCCCAGUUCGGAUUGGGAGUCUGCAACUCGACUCCAUGAAGUCGGAAUCGCUAGUAAUCGCAGAUCAGCAGGCUGCGGUGAAUACGUUCCCGGGCCCUGUACACACCCCCCGUGAAUCACUAGUG
RNAcentral lists this ribosomal RNA (334 nucleotides) under uncultured bacterium. Its description in RNAcentral is "partial 16S ribosomal RNA". It matches the Rfam family "Bacterial small subunit ribosomal RNA", at positions 1098 to 1409 of the family's 1533-position model. The record is from RNAcentral.